GCUUAGAACUUCACCUGGUCACUCAACACCAGCUCCAUCACCAAGAAAGCCUAGCAGCAUCUCUACUUACUGAGAACGCUGGGGAAAGCCUAUCUCCCUCCCCCUACCCAUACCACGUUCUACGAGAUACAGAGAGGCCUGGGUUUUGGAACUGCACCGUCUCUGAUUGCAAGAUGUUCGCAGAGGAUACGGGGAGAGAGAUUCCAAUGAUUUUCUUCGGCUGUCCCCACAUUUACAUUUACAUUUACAUUUGCGGCAUUUGGCAGACGCCCUUAUCCAGAGCGACUUACAACUGAGCAGGGGAGGGUCUUAGCUUUGCUCAAGGGCCCAGCAGUGGCAGCUUGGUGGGAUUUGAACCUGUGAUCUUCUGAUCCAAAGCCCAAUGCCUUAACCACUUAGCUACCACCUCCCAUGGUAGUUACACAUUUACACCACGCACUGCAUCCACAAAGAUAUUUGCAUAGUGGACGACCCCACACAGCUCUUAAACACGCUCUUCAACCCUCUAUCACCAGGAAAGCGCGUAUAAAGCAUUCAAGCCCUGAACUCCAGACUGUGCAACAGUCUUUUCUCGCUCAAGCCAUCAGGCUCCUCAACACACAGAACUGAACUAGAACUGAAACUCACAUGCACACUCACUCAACUGUGUUACUGAGCUGCUACAAAUCUGAACUCACACACACACACAUUUCAAUUUACACACAUCCUUUUCUUCAGCACUAACAAUUGUAUAUUAUUAUUUUAUUAUAACUAUAUUAUAACUGUUUACCUGCUGUUUUGCACAUUUACUCGAUUGCUGCUGUUGCUGUUUUGCACAACUUUUUGCAUUUUAUUUACAAGUACACUCUUGUUUACAGAUCUAAUUUUUGAACACAUUAUACAGUAGGUUUCCUGGCGUACUGGUCUUUUGUCUUGAGAUGAUGCCAAACAGUGGCAAACAUGUUCUCCCAACUUCUUUUUAAAUGAUAAAUCUUCUCAGUUUCAAAGCCAUGCUAAACAAGAGAGAAAAAAUAAGACAAGUCUCUUCAAAUGAACAGAGUAUUGUGACUAGGAAUGCACCGAAAUGAAAAUUCUUGGCUGAAACCGAAAACCGAAAAAGAGGAAAGCAAGGCCGAAAACCAAAAGAAAUUUUGCCAAUAAUUGUUACCAUUGCAUUUAUGGCUAUGACUGUGUACUAACCUUACUAAA
Silurus meridionalis is the source of this 1188-nucleotide long non-coding RNA. RefSeq lists it as uncharacterized. The transcript is spliced from 3 exons. Lineage: Eukaryota; Metazoa; Chordata; Actinopteri; Siluriformes; Siluridae. The record is from RefSeq and is a predicted model, not a curated record.